Long non-coding RNA from Cervus elaphus (red deer), 166 nucleotides. RefSeq lists it as uncharacterized. The record is from RefSeq and is a predicted model, not a curated record. Lineage: Eukaryota; Metazoa; Chordata; Mammalia; Artiodactyla; Cervidae. The transcript is spliced from 3 exons.
AAUUUUUAAAAAGAAAAAAAAAAAAAAAAAAUCCAAGAUCCUGCUAAAGUCUAAAUUUAGCAUAUUGACAAAAGAAUAUGGAUUUGUACCCUCUUUAAAACCUUUUUUUUUUUACCAGUUUUCUUUUGUGUUAAUGCUCUCUUAAAUAAAACACUGCAUGAAUUCC